ACGACCUACCGCAAACACCCUGCCGGUGGACUCGACUUCGCGAGUGCAUAAGUUUGAAAAAAGUUUCACCAAGAGUAACCGUAGGGUUUGAUGACGUCGUCGGUGACGUACAAGAUGCACUGGAGUGAUGUCAAAAGUGGAAAUUACUCUGGAUAUUCGCAAUCGGCUCAGUUGCCCGAGAGGUGCGAUCGUGAACACAUCUAAGAUAUAGCCUAUUAUGAAUUUUUUGUUAGUGCGGUACGAAUAUAUUAAUAUUUUUAUGGAAUUAAACAAAAAGUUAAUUUAGUUAAUACGAAUUAUAAUAUAAUGAGAAUUUUAAAUUGUAAAUGAAUAAUAGUUCAUGGCAAUGAAAAGAUUAAUUGAAAGUGUAUUCACCAAAGUGCCCAUAUCUUCUCUGAACGCCUUUGUCUUGAUGCGAAGGCUGUAUAAAUUUGGCAAGGACAAGGCAGUCUGUAUUGGGUAAGGUCAUGGAACAGAGAGUCUGCGGUGGCGGGAGGAGGAGAUGAAGGGGUGGGGGGUGUGGAGGGGGCGAAGGCCAACUACAGAGGUUACUCUCGGUCAUUCGCGCGUGACGUCAUCAGUCACAACCAAACCCGUGACGUCACUGGUCGAUUUCACACAUUUGAAACUACCCCCUGUACCCCACUCCCAUCUAGUGGUUUAUGUACUUUAAAGUAAUUCAAACAUAUUUAAAAAAAUCUAUAGGAAAAGGUUUAAUUGUUUAUAUAAAUUAACAGUUUUUUUGUUCAGUCUAAGAAGUGAAUAAGAACAUUUUUUAAAUGAUAAACAAGAGGGUCAUUAAAAUCCUCAACUGCAGGUUAAAUUCGCUAAAAUGCCAGCACAUGUUGCUGCAACUUGCAUUGGUAGUCAAUUUCUUGAAAAUGUGCAUACAAAUGCUUGAGGUAACUUUUUUCAAAAUCUGUCCUAUGUUGGGAAAAGCCGACAUUUUAAAUCGUGAUUUUAGGGGUUUUUUCCGAUUUUUGCCAACUUUUAUGUCACUCUGCACACCCAACACUGCAAAAUAAAACCAUAAUGUUUUCUUGCAAUUUUUAACGAUCCCUGUGUCUGUUUUUUAGUUUGCUUGGACUACAUAGAAACCAUCUAUUAAUACUAACUUACUGUUAACUACUUAAAAUGUGAUAGAGACUAACUUGAGAAAUGCUGCUUUUCUAGAAGUGCUACGAAAAUAAAAUUUGAACUUGGUCUAGCGCCAACACCCCCGGGAAAAUUAUGAAAAUUCACCAUUUUCUAAUUGUCAUCCCCCGAAUUUUAUAAUCCCCCCCUGUGUGGUUCUUAUGGGGAAUAAGCUCAAAAGUGGCUUACUUUGGUAUGCUGAUCUGAAACACUUAGAAAUGUGUUAGAAACUUGCUUUGCUUAAAUAAGCAAUCUAAUAAGGCACCAUCCACCCAGGGGGGCCUGGGCGAGCCAAUGGCAAGUUUUAUUUAUUAUAAAAGAAGCUUACGUAUUUCAAAGUAAUUACUUUACUACUGUACCACUUUAUGUUUGCCGACAUGGGGUUUAUAUAGAUAUUAAGAAUCAUACAAUAAAUCUGUCAAGUUGUUGA
Macrosteles quadrilineatus (aster leafhopper) is the source of this 1564-nucleotide long non-coding RNA. RefSeq lists it as uncharacterized. The record is from RefSeq and is a predicted model, not a curated record. NCBI's taxonomy places the organism in Eukaryota, Metazoa, Arthropoda, Insecta, Hemiptera, Cicadellidae. The transcript has 2 exons.